GUUUCUUUCCUGUGUCUCCGUGUGUGUGUGUGCGUGCUCCCGCGCACAUCUACCCUCACGUCGCGCUUUCUCCCGUUUCUUUCAUAAUACAAAAUGUUUCUUCCCUCUUAUACUCCUCGUGUGUGUCGUGUGUGGGCGUUGGUGUGUGUCGGUGGGGUGUUGGUGCAUCUUCUGAUGCGCAGUUGAGCACCUGCGUCUGCCGUGGCGACAUGUGGUGGCUAAACCCCCUCCCUCCCCCCUCACACACACACACACACACACAGCGACUUGAUGUACAACACACUCGUCUUGCCUUAACUUUGUUGCCGACGUCGUCGCUGACGACUUCGUUGCUGCGCCCCCUCAUGUCCCUUGGCAUUAGUACUGCUGGUUUGCCGCUUGGGUGUCCGCGUGCGCGUGUUCGCACGCCUACGUGGAUGCGCAUGCGUUGAGGGUGCUGAGAUCAUGGCCGUCAUGUGCGUGCACCAAAGGGCAACCUGGCGUCACCGAGCGCAAUGACGAAAGAGAAGAUACGACCCGCACGGGAGGGAAGGGCGGACUCUGGCGUCGUCACGGCCGCUGCGUAUGCCACGGCGCGCCGACUGACAGUGCCCAAAUGGCGACAAAAACAGCGACAGAGGGUUGCCACGCAGGGAGCCACGCAAGCCCCACUCACCGUCUCAGUGGGGUUGCUCCCUUACUCUCUCUACAACUGCGAGAACAGCCAUUGCCCCUUCCCCCGUCUCUUGUCUUUAUACACGCACACGCACACACAUGCGAACAAGGAGUCAGUGCGUGCUGUGCCGUGCUGAGAUGAUGAGCGAUGCGUGCACUGCUUAGCAUUUGUUCAUAAAGGGCAUACGUCCUUUCCGGCUUCUCGCCUCCUCCCUUUCCUUACCUUCCCUUCCCUCCCGCCCUCCCGCUCGCUCGCUCCUUUCCCGCAUACACGGACGCACAUCGGGUCCGUCGUACGCCGUUACGUGCCCGCCAUCUCUGCGGCGCUAUUCAUUCCACCUCCCUCCUCCACACACGUUCGUUUCUCGUUCCCCGUUGGCGUGUUUGUUUGUCCUCACUCCCGACGUUGGCGGCCGUCUUGCAUCGCUUCCUGCCCUCCCCCGCCCCCUCGCGUACGCGUCUGUACAACGGGAUCGCCCGCUCAUCUCUGCAUGCAG
Molecule: unclassified non-coding RNA, 1151 nt
Filed under: Leishmania donovani
Lineage: Eukaryota; Euglenozoa; Kinetoplastea; Trypanosomatida; Trypanosomatidae
Description: gene:unknown
Source: RNAcentral